Molecule: microRNA precursor, 91 nt
Filed under: Canis lupus familiaris (dog)
Lineage: Eukaryota; Metazoa; Chordata; Mammalia; Carnivora; Canidae
Also listed under: 1 other name
Description: mir-8799 microRNA precursor family
Rfam family: mir-8799 microRNA precursor family
Source: Rfam by way of RNAcentral
CGGGGGAGGCCGGAUCCUGGGCUGUGUCCCGGCGCCCUGUGCUCCGGAGCCUAGGCUGGUGGAUUCGCGCUCCCGGGCCGCGCAACCCCCU